Molecule: ribosomal RNA, 410 nt
Filed under: uncultured microorganism
Description: bacterial SSU rRNA
Rfam family: Bacterial small subunit ribosomal RNA
Source: RNAcentral
GAGUUUGAUCCUGGCUCAGAUUGAACGCUGGCGGCAUGCCUUACACAUGCAAGUCGAACGGCAGCAUGAUCUAGCUUGCUAGAUUGAUGGCGAGUGGCGAACGGGUGAGUAAUACAUCGGAACGUGCCCUGUAGUGGGGGAUAACUAGUCGAAAGAUUAGCUAAUACCGCAUACGACCUGAGGGUGAAAGUGGGGGACCGCAAGGCCUCAUGCUAUAGGAGCGGCCGAUGUCUGAUUAGCUAGUUGGUGGGUAAAGGCCCACCAAGGCGACGAUCAGUAGCUGGUCUGAGAGGACGAUCAGCCACACUGGGACUGAGACACGGCCCAGACUCCUACGGGAGGCAGCAGUGGGGAAUUUUGGACAAUGGGCGAAAGCCUGAUCCAGCAAUGCCGCGUGUGUGAAGAAGGCC